AUUGAACGCUGGCGGCAUGCCUUACACAUGCAAGUCGAACGGUAACAGGUCUUCGGAUGCUGACGAGUGGCGAACGGGUGAGUAAUGCAUCGGAACGUGCCCAGUAGUGGGGGAUAGCCCGGCGAAAGCCGGAUUAAUACCGCAUACGACCUGAGGGUGAAAGGGGGGGAUCGCAAGACCUCUCGCUAUUGGAGCGGCCGAUGUCAGAUUAGCUAGUUGGUGGGGUAAAGGCCUACCAAGGCAACGAUCUGUAGUUGGUCUGAGAGGACGACCAGCCACACUGGGACUGAGACACGGCCCAGACUCCUACGGGAGGCAGCAGUGGGGAAUUUUGGACAAUGGGCGCAAGCCUGAUCCAGCAAUGCCGCGUGCAGGAAGAAGGCCUUCGGGUUGUAAACUGCUUUUGUCAGGGAAGAAAUCUUCUGGGUUAAUACCUCGGGAGGAUGACGGUACCUGAAGAAUAAGCACCGGCUAACUACGUGCCAGCAGCCGCCGUAA
RNAcentral lists this ribosomal RNA (498 nucleotides) under uncultured bacterium. Its description in RNAcentral is "partial 16S ribosomal RNA". It matches the Rfam family "Bacterial small subunit ribosomal RNA", at positions 30 to 523 of the family's 1533-position model. The record is from RNAcentral.